GUGGGGAAUUUUGGACAAUGGGCGAAAGCCUGAUCCAGCAAUGCCGCGUGUGUGAAGAAGGCCUUCGGGUUGUAAAGCACUUUUGGCAGGGAAGAAACAGUGCGUGCUAAUACCAUGCGCGAAUGACGGUACCUGCAGAAUAAGCACCGGCUAACUACGUGCCAGCAGCCGCGGUAAUACGUAGGGUGCAAGCGUUAAUCGGAAUUACUGGGCGUAAAGCGUGCGCAGGCGGCUUUGUAAGACGGAUGUGAAAGCCCCGGGCUCAACCUGGGAAGUGCAUUCGUGACUGCAAGGCUAGAGUGUGUCAGAGGGAGGUGGAAUUCCGCGUGUAGCAGUGAAAUGCGUAGAGAUGCUGAGGAACACCGAUGGCGAAGGCAGCCUCCUGGGAUAACACUGACGCUCAGGCACGAAAGCGUGGGGAGCAAACAGGAUUAGAUACCCGGGUAGUCC
Molecule: ribosomal RNA, 450 nt
Filed under: uncultured bacterium
Lineage: Bacteria
Description: partial 16S ribosomal RNA
Rfam family: Bacterial small subunit ribosomal RNA
Source: RNAcentral